RNAcentral lists this long non-coding RNA (250 nucleotides) under Lathyrus oleraceus (garden pea). Its description in RNAcentral is "Pisum sativum (pea) long non-coding RNA (PSAT_LNC006107)". The record is from RNAcentral. Lineage: Eukaryota; Viridiplantae; Streptophyta; Magnoliopsida; Fabales; Fabaceae.
GCUUGAGGGGCCUCUGAUCAGCCACGUCAAUUAAUGAGGCUUGAUCAGACGCCUCUCCUUUUUUUUUUUUAUAAUUUCCAUUUUAUUUCUUUUAUUUCAUUUAACUUCAAAAAAUCAUAACUCUUUCAUUUUUAAUCCAAAAAAUAUGGGACCAAUUGCAUUAUUUAUCUUUUUAAUUUUAGUUUUUAAAAAUGAUUUUUAAUAUUUUUUAUUUCAUCAUUUGAUAUUUUUUGUGAAUUUUCUCUUUUCU